GACGGGGCGAGCCUGUAGGGCGCGCCUGGCGGCGGCAUGGCGUCUCCAGCCCAGGUUUUAAAAUACCUUCUAAUGUAAGGAAAUAGCCCUGCACCUUGUGCCCAUCCUAGAGAGAAAAUGGUUUCUUAAUAAAAAAUGUAUGAGGCCUUUUUUGCCCCAAUAUCUUCCCAAGCAGAGGAAUGUGAAGGGGGGUUGGGCCAAGAAGUGAGUGGUAGGAAGAGAGGCCUACGGAUUUAAAACAGGCCACUGCUUGGAGGGGUGUCUUUCCUAAACCACUGAAGAAAUUGAACCAGGCAAAGGAAGGGGGUUCACACCCACAAAUAAACUAUAACCUACAAAAGGAGCCCGGGUUCACAUCCACAAAUAAAUUGUAACCUACACAAGGAGUCUGGUUGAGGUCACAAAACAAAAGCCAGGAGGCAACCAAAAGUAGAAUAUGAAAUAGGUGCUGCCUUCUCACCUAGGAAUCCUUCCAGGGCUAAAACCUUCAAAUAUUCUGCUUUUAAGGUAGUCAGAUACCCUCACAACUCAUUUACAUCAGCCCUUCUCUGUUUUCAAGUGAGAAGCAUAGAUGGUUUAGAAUUAAGCUAUGAACUCUUGGAUCUUUUCUUCCAAGUUUAGUGUUAGUGGUAGAUAGGUCUAGUCCAACUAUCUCAAUACAUUGUUUUCUCCCUAGUUAAAACAGAUUUGCAAGAAUCAUUUGUAUGACACUUUAGGAAUACAGAUAAAUUGCUAGUGCAAAUAAUAUCCUUAUAUUUAUAAAAUAUAUGUGUACUUUUAAAAAAGUUAUAUGAAUCCAAUCCUCUGGCCUUUUAGUUAGUAUUGAGUGUGAUAGUUGUGGGAGAUCUGUAGUAAAUACGGUUUCUGAAGGGUGUGCUAUCAUCCCUAAUGAACUCACCUAUUAAUUGUGGUAAAGAGUUUUUCACUUGGGCUGGGCACGGUGGCUCACGCCUGUAAUCCCAGCACUUUGGGAGGCCGAGGCAGGUGGGUCGACUGAGGUCAGGAGUUCCAGACCAGCCUAGCCAACAUGGUGAAACCCCGUCUGUACUAAAAAAAAAAAAAAGAAAAAAAAUAGCUGGGCAUGGUGGCAGGUGCCUGUAAUCCCAGCUACUUGGGAGGCUGAGGCAGGAGAAUCCCUUGAACCUGGGGAGGCGGAGGUUGCAGUGAGCCAAGAUCGUGCCAUUGCACUCCAGCCUGGGCAACAAGAGCAAAACUCCGUCUCAAAAAAAAAAAAAAAAAGAAAAAGAAAAAGAAAUGAAAAAAAAAGUUUCCCAACAUGUAUUAGCCGUUUUCAUGUUGUCUGUAUUCACCUUUGCGUCAUCACCCCUCUUCAAUUUCCUCCUGGAAUUCAAUCACAGUAAUGGGUUAUCUCAGCAUAUAUUAUUCGCCAGUCUCACAUCCUGACCUCAUUUAUUUACC
RNAcentral lists this long non-coding RNA (1419 nucleotides) under Homo sapiens (human). RNAcentral describes it as "non-protein coding lnc-CXCR5-1:2". Lineage: Eukaryota; Metazoa; Chordata; Mammalia; Primates; Hominidae. The record is from RNAcentral.